UAUCUAAACGGAGAGAUUCAAUACUGAACUUAACACUCAGUGUGCACUUCUCUCUUAGUAGGACGUCGUGAUCCAUUAGAAAUUGGUAGACGCCAGUCUAUAUGAGGUCAUCAAUGGGCUCGCACGAAGUUUAUUGGAACAAAUGGCAGAGUCUUUCAACGGCACUGUGUAUUGUCUGGUAAGCGUGCGAAUACUCGCAAUGACUGUCUGAUGGAUUUUAAAGAUUAUAUUAUUGAUGUUUCGGCAUCACUCGCCUCACGGCCCGAGUAUACAAUAUAUAUCCGAUCAACGACGCUUAAAUUUGGGAUACCUUUUGGACCCGUCUUGAAACACGGACCAAGGAGUCUAUCUAAUGUGCGAGUAAAUGAGUAGCUUAUGAAACUUAUUUGCGCAAUUAACGUAACUGUAUUUAUGGGAUUACGAGGUCAUUUCAAUGGUGAUCUCUUCCAUCCCGGAGUAUUUUCGUCAACAUAUGAGCAAUCAUAUGGAAAAUAUAUCAUGAGCAUAUUGGAUACGACCCGAAAGAUGGUGAACUAUGCUUGAUCAGGUCGAAGUCAGGGGAAACCCUGAUGGAGGACCGAAGCAGUUCUGACGUGCAAAUCGAUUGUCAGA
This 612-nucleotide ribosomal RNA is filed under the name Neozavrelia shoualba. RNAcentral's name for it is "partial 28S ribosomal RNA". It matches the Rfam family "Eukaryotic large subunit ribosomal RNA", at positions 431 to 909 of the family's 3401-position model. Lineage: Eukaryota; Metazoa; Arthropoda; Insecta; Diptera; Chironomidae. The record is from RNAcentral.